This 661-nucleotide ribosomal RNA is filed under the name Athelia abscondita. RNAcentral's name for it is "partial large subunit ribosomal RNA". It matches the Rfam family "Eukaryotic large subunit ribosomal RNA", at positions 97 to 742 of the family's 3401-position model. The record is from RNAcentral. Lineage: Eukaryota; Fungi; Basidiomycota; Agaricomycetes; Atheliales; Atheliaceae.
AGCGGGAAAAGCUCAAAUUUAAAAUCUGGCGUCCUCCGGGCGUCCGAGUUGUAAUCUGGAGAAGCGUUUUCCGCGUCGGACCGUGUACAAGUCUUCUGGAACGGAGCGUCAUAGAGGGUGAGAAUCCCGUCUCUGACACGGACUACCGAUGCUUUUGUGAUGCGCUCUCGAAGAGUCGAGUUGUUUGGGAAUGCAGCUCAAAAUGGGUGGUAAAUUCCAUCUAAAGCUAAAUAUUGGCCAGAGACCGAUAGCGAACAAGUACCGUGAGGGAAAGAUGAAAAGCACUUUGGAAAGAGAGUUAAACAGUACGUGAAAUUGUUGAAAGGGAAACGCUUGAAGUCAGUCGCGUUGGCCGAGACUCAGCCUGGCUUGCCUGGUGUACUUCUCGGUUGACGGGUCAGCAUCAGUUUUGACCGUCGGAUAAAGGUUGGAGGAAUGUGGCAUCCCUCGGGAUGUGUUAUAGCCUCUGAUUCGCAUACGGCGAUUGGGACUGAGGAACUCAGCACGCCUUUAUGGUCGGGGUUCGCCCACGUAACGUGCUUAGGAUGCUGGCAUAAUGGCUUUAAGCGACCCGUCUUGAAACACGGACCAAGGAGUCUAACAUGCCCGCGAGUGUUUGGGUGUUAAACCCGAGCGCGUAAUGAAAGUGAAAGUUGAGAUC